RNAcentral lists this unclassified non-coding RNA (509 nucleotides) under uncultured bacterium. Its description in RNAcentral is "partial contains 16S ribosomal RNA, 16S-23S ribosomal RNA intergenic spacer, and 23S ribosomal RNA". The stretch from base 379 to 509 matches the Rfam family "Bacterial large subunit ribosomal RNA", at positions 1 to 131 of the family's 2925-position model. The record is from RNAcentral.
UGCGGCUGGAUCCCCUCCUUUCUAAGGAUAUAUUCGGAACAUCUUCUACGAAGAUGAGGGAUAACGUGACAUAUUGUAUUCAGUUUUGAAUGUUUAUUUGCAUUCAAAUUAUAUAAUGGGCCUAUAGCUCAGCUGGUUAGAGCGCACGCCUGAUAAGCGUGAGGUCGGUGGUUCGAGUCCACUUAGGCCCACCAUUCAUUUGUACAUUGAAAACUAGAUAAGUAAGUAAGAUUUUACCAAGCAAAACCGAGUGAAUAGAGUUUUAAAUAAGCUUGAAUUCAUAAAUAAUCGCUAGUGUUCGAAAGAACACUCACAAGAUUAAUAACUAGUUUUAGCUAUUUAUUUUGAAUUGUUAUUCAAAAUAUGGUGGAAAACAUAGAUUAAGUUAUUAAGGGCGCACGGUGGAUGCCUUGGCACUAGAAGCCGAUGAAGGACGUUACUAACGACGAUAUGCUUUGGGUAGCUGUAAGUAAGCGUUGAUCCAGAGAUUUCCGAAUGGGGAAACCCGG